This 465-nucleotide ribosomal RNA is filed under the name uncultured bacterium. RNAcentral's name for it is "bacterial SSU rRNA". It matches the Rfam family "Bacterial small subunit ribosomal RNA", at positions 338 to 795 of the family's 1533-position model. The record is from RNAcentral.
CCUACGGGUUGCAGCAGUGGGGAAUAUUGCACAAUGGGCGCAAGCCUGAUGCAGCCAUGCCGCGUGUAUGAAGAAGGCCCUAGGGUUGUAAAGUACUUUCAGUCGGGAGGAAGGCGUUGAUGCUAAUAUCAUCAACGAUUGACGUUACCGACAGAAGAAGCACCGGCUAACUCCGUGCCAGCAGCCGCGGUAAUACGGAGGGUGCAAGCGUUAAUCGGAAUUACUGGGCGUAAAGCGCACGCAGGCGGUUGAUUAAGUUAGAUGUGAAAUCCCCGGGCUCAACCUGGGAACUGCAUUCGAAACUGGCAGGCUAGAGUCUUGUAGAGGGGGGUAGAAUUCCAGGUGUAGCGGUGAAAUGCGUAGAGAUCUGGAGGAAUACCGGUGGCGAAGGCGGCCCCCUGGACAAAGACUGACGCUCAGGUGCGAAAGCGUGGGGAGCAAACAGGAUUAGAUACCCCAGUAGUC